RNAcentral lists this ribosomal RNA (495 nucleotides) under uncultured bacterium. RNAcentral describes it as "bacterial SSU rRNA". It matches the Rfam family "Bacterial small subunit ribosomal RNA", at positions 28 to 524 of the family's 1533-position model. The record is from RNAcentral.
GAUGAACGCUAGCGGCAGGCCUAAUACAUGCAAGUCGAACGGUAAGGCCCUUUCGGGGUACACGAGUGGCGGACGGGUGCGUAACGCGUAUGCAACAUACCUUCAAGCGGGGGAUAUGCCAGGGAAACUUGGUGCAACACCCCAUAGCAUUUCGGGACCGCAUGGUCUUGGGAUUAAAUAUUUAUAGCUUGGAGAUUGGCAUGCGUGACAUUAGCUAGUUGGCGGGUAACGGCCCACCAAGGCGACGAUGUCUAGCUGGUCUGAGAGGAUGAUCAGCCACACUGGGACUGAGACACGGCCCAGACUCCUACGGGAGGCAGCAGUAGGGAAUAUUGGACAAUGGGGGGAACCCUGAUCCAGCCAUGCCGCGUGAGGGAAGAAGGUCCUCUGGAUUGUAAACCUCUUUUGGCGGGGGACAAACCUGCACUAUACGUGCAGCUGAGGGUACCCGCAGAAUAAGCACCGGCUAAACUCCGUGCCAGCAGCCGCGGUAAU